This 480-nucleotide ribosomal RNA is filed under the name uncultured bacterium. RNAcentral describes it as "bacterial SSU rRNA". It matches the Rfam family "Bacterial small subunit ribosomal RNA", at positions 9 to 490 of the family's 1533-position model. The record is from RNAcentral.
GAGUUUGAUCCUGGCUCAGAGCGAACGCUGGCGGCGUGCUUAACACAUGCAAGUCGAGUGCGCGUCUGUAGCAAUACAGAUGGCGCACGGCGCACAGGUGCGUAACACGUGGGCAAUCUGCCCUUCGAUGGGGAAUAACCUCGCGAAAGCGAGGCUAAUUCCGCAUAACAUUCCGAUGAUCUUGGUCAAUGGAUUCAAAGCCGUAAGGCGUCGAAGGAGGAGCCCGCGCACGAUUAGCUAGUUGGUGAGGUAACGGCGUCACCAAGGCUAUGAUCGUUAGCUGGUCUGAGAGGAUGGCCAGCCACACUGGAACUGAGACACGGUCCAGACUCCUACGGGAGGCAGCAGUGGGGAAUCUUGCACAAUGGGCGAAAGCCUGAUGCAGCGACGCCGCGUGGGGGAUGAAGCUUUUCGGAGUGUAAACCCCUUUCGACCCGGACGAAUGCCUCGCAAGAGGACUGACGGUACGGGUAUAAGAAG